AUGAGAUCUAAGAGCUAUUUAUCCUUCUGACUUUCACAGCCUAUCUUCUGCUUCCAUGUAGCUUCAGCAGCUAUUGUGGAUUUCGGGAAUCCCCAUUACCCAGGCUGGAGUGCAGUGGUGCAAUCACAGCACGAAAGUCUAUAGUGGAGGGCACAAGUGGGAAAGUAGUAGAUGAAGCAGAGAGGUAGCCAGGGGCAGAUCCAACUUAGAAUGAGUUAGAGGAACGGUUGGAUGGCUUUAGCUUAAAAGAAACGUGGUCUGACUUAUGUCUUAGGAGGACCACUCUGGCUUGCUGCCCAGAGAAAGGACUGUCGAGGGAACAAGAGUGGGAGCCAGGGCAUCACUUGUGAAGCUGUUAGUGAACCCAGAUGCAAGAGAAUGAUGACUUGGUCCUGGGUGGCUGGAGGAAGUGGUGAGAAAUGA
RNAcentral lists this long non-coding RNA (423 nucleotides) under Homo sapiens (human). RNAcentral's name for it is "non-protein coding lnc-NTPCR-2:1". The record is from RNAcentral. Lineage: Eukaryota; Metazoa; Chordata; Mammalia; Primates; Hominidae.